AAGUACCGUGAGGGAAAGUUGAAAAGAACUUUGAAGAGAGAGUUCAAUAGUACGUGAAACCGUUCAGGGGUAAACCUGAGAAACCCGAAAGAUCGACCGGGGAGAUUCAGCGCGUCUCUCGUUCAGGCGAGCCGCGAUCGCGCGACGGACGCGUCCCUCAUCCUCCGGGAUGACGGGACCGUCCGCGCCGUUCGCCGGCCGACCGGUUCAGAACGCGUGCACUUCUCCCCCGGUAGGACGUCGCGACCCGUCGGUCGUCUGUCUAAGGCCCCCGGUGGAGACCGUUCGACGAGCGCAAGCGAGCCGUUCGGACCCGGGGUGUCCCGGCAGGCGAGAACAAACAUGAAAACUCGACGGUAUAACAUAAAAAUAAAAUUAACAAGUUGCCAGGGGUCGCGUCCGCUUCGGCGGCGCGCGUCCGGCCCGGGCGCAAGUACGGCUCUGACUGCGAGGUCGUUACACCGGGUUUUUGAAAGCCGGACGUUUACCGGCCGGCGCCCGGAAGAGCCUACUGUUGGCGUCGGUGGCCUCGGACAGGCCCGCACAACCGUCAGCGACGCUUUAGCUUUGGGUACUUUCAGGACCCGUCUUGAAACACGGACCAAGGAGUCCAGCAUGUGCGCGAGUCAAUGGGACAAAUAAACAACUAAACCCAAAGGCGCAAUGAAAGUAAAGGCGCUGCCUCCGCGCACGCCGAGGGAGGAUGCG
Molecule: ribosomal RNA, 708 nt
Filed under: Platyprosopus indicus
Lineage: Eukaryota; Metazoa; Arthropoda; Insecta; Coleoptera; Staphylinidae
Description: partial large subunit ribosomal RNA
Rfam family: Eukaryotic large subunit ribosomal RNA
Source: RNAcentral